GGAGCCCUAUUUAUAGUUGAACCCAUGAUUGCAUAACUGCCAACUGGGAACCCAAGUUGCAAUGCAACAUCUUCUAAUGUGUCAGUGUCCGAGCACCAUCGGAUCACCGUGAACUCAAACAUACCUUAAAACUAUCACAAUUUCUCUGUAACGCCCAAAAUUUUUAUUUUUGUUCUUGCAAAUGUGUGACACAACUGUGUAUCUCCUUCAGUGGUUAAGUGUUUUGGGUGUGUGAGAGGUCCCAAGUUCAAGCCAGG
Molecule: long non-coding RNA, 257 nt
Filed under: Gossypium barbadense (sea-island cotton)
Lineage: Eukaryota; Viridiplantae; Streptophyta; Magnoliopsida; Malvales; Malvaceae
Description: long non-coding RNA (GBAR_LNC022451)
Source: RNAcentral